This 197-nucleotide ribosomal RNA is filed under the name uncultured bacterium. RNAcentral describes it as "partial 16S ribosomal RNA". It matches the Rfam family "Bacterial small subunit ribosomal RNA", at positions 328 to 539 of the family's 1533-position model. The record is from RNAcentral.
ACGCUCGACACCUACGGGAGCAGCAGUGGGGAAUAUUGCACAAUGGGGGAAACCCUGAUGCAGCGACGCCGCGUGAGCGAAGAAGUAUUUCGGUAUGUAAAGCUCUAUCAGCAGGGAAGAAACUGACGGUACCUGACUAAGAAGCACCGGCUAAAUACGUGCCAGCAGCCGUGGUAAUCUGAGCGGGCUGGCAAGGC